AUCGCCGGCAUGUCCAGGCCGGAGAAAGUACAGUGGGGUUGUGGUCAACUUUCCUAUUGACCCAGGGGUUGGGUUGUCCUGGCCGACCAAAGAAUUUUGGACGAUUAGUUUGUCAGCAGGAAUACCCGACCUUUUCAUGGACCCGGCUGUUGAGUUGCUUUGGCCCUCCUGCUCCCUUCGCGAGCCCCUUCCUCUCCCAUGGCGUUCGGGCUGGAUCUCGCCCCUGCUGUCCCCUCGCGUCGCGGCGGCCGUGGCCUGCUGGGUGGAGGCGCGGCCCUCGGCGGCUAUGGAGGUGAGGGGGGCUGCUCUCCCCGGUCUGGGCGGCGUGGCUCCUUGCAGGUGGCCGGCGGUCGUGGAGGUGGUUCCCGGCCGCCGCCGGAGGCUGGAUCCGCCGGAUCCAGCGGGCUCCAGGUCCGAUCUGGUGGCAUCCUUAGGCAAUGGCCUCUCCCUCGUGUGUGGUCCUCGCGGCUACUUCUUCUGGGCGCCCGAUUCCCAGAUCUAGGAAUCUUCUCCAUGUGGGUGCAAAGGUCAAGCUUUGGGUGCAGUGUGUGGUGGAUUUGCGCUAGUGCGGCGGCAGGGGUGGCCGGCUACGUGCUUGCGGUCCACUGCCCUGUGGCUGGUGGAUGAGGGUGGAUUCUCUUGGUCGCCGGAGCGGCGGCUCCGGACGGUGGGCACGGUGACACCACCUCGGCGGGUGUCUCCGUGCAGGUGCUCGUUGGUCGCCCCAGCCGCUUGGGCGGCGGGGUGGACCAUUUGGGGGCGUCCGUCGUACAGGGUCUGCCACCCCAAUUGCUCCGGGCGUCAUCUGCAUCUUGCCUUCGCCGACCCUGCUGAUGGACCUGGUUGGUGCGGUCUUUUCCCGAGCGAAAGCUCUGCCCGACGGUGUCGGUGCCGGUGAUAGCAACGCUUCUGUGUGUCGUUCUCCUCCCUGGAGGUGUCACCGUGGGCGACCUGCAUCCACCAUGGGCUCUGGGUGAAAACUCUUGGUCUGGCAUGUUCUGGACCGGGCAGUGGCGUCGUUUCCUCCUUGGAGGCUCCGUCCUGUGAGCAAGGUCUCAUUUUGCUAGUUGCCAAGGCAAGCUCUGUGGAUGACAGCUUCUUCUCGUCAUGUGGCGAGGCAUGCUUCAACGGUAGCGCACUCUUGAGGAGCCAGGUUCGGCAAUGUGGAUGUGCUCGAAGGCCUUCCUCUGUUGUCUUGACAUCAGCUUCCGUCUGCGCUCUAGGGUGGUGAGCACUCCAUCGUUCGACGGUGCGGCGCCCUUCGAGCCAUGGCGAGGAGCUGGGGGUGCUCCAUUUGGCGAUGGAACAAGAUGGCACUGAUCUGUCGGACGCACAGGUGAUGGCAAUGGCGUAGCUUCCUUUGUCGGCUAGUCUCCUUCCCGAGUUGGCCUCCUUCGCAGCGUUGGUCCUCUGUUCAUGUCUCGAGGGCUCUGAUGUCUUGAUGUUCUGUUUUUUGAGCCUUGUUGCUGCUCCUGGGCAUGCAUCCAUGUAUCUUGCUGGUGUUUUUCUUUUGCUUUUAUUGUGUUGCCGUGUACUUUUGUGUUGGUUGUGAGGGCUUCAUUAAUUUAAAGCCGGGCGUCAGCCUCUUUUCUAAAAAAAAGUUGCUUUGGCUCGCGAAAAAAGAAGAUGGGCUACUAUCGUUGGUAAGGCAUACAAAACAUUUUGAUUCAAUCAAAGCUCAUACAAUAAUAAUUAUUUAGAAAAAUAAUAUGACUUGUCAAAUAAAUGGGGUCUAAAGUACAAAAUUUUCUCACGACGUGACCAUUAUCCAACUGCAUCUACUAUUACUCCAUCCCAAAACCACUAUCCAGCAUGCAUCUCAAGGUAUUAAGUUUACUAGAAUCAAAGCAACACAAUAAGCAAGAUAACAUAGUGUAGGUAGAAAGAAAUGUAGCAAUAAGAUUAAACCCUGUCGUUUUGUCCUUAGUGGAAACAAUAUAAAUAUGUGUCUUUGCCUUUAUUGUCACUAGUUUAGAGCACCGCAAGAUUGAACCCGCUACUAUGCAUCACUUAUUCUGAAGAACUACCCAUCUAUCUUGGUCAGAGAAGACAAAUAAUUCGGAAAGCAUACAUAGCUACUUAAUUAUACGGCAAAGAAACCUCAAAAGAUUCAAUAAUAUUUGAUGAAACAACCUGAUCAUAAAUCCACAAUUCAUCGGAUCCCGACAAACACACCAUAGAAAUUACAUCAAAUUGAUCUCAAUCACACAAGGAAGAAGGUAAACUGGUAUUGAAGAUCCAAAAGAGAUAGAGAACCAUCUGGCUACUACUAUGGACCCGUAGUUCCUAGGGAACUACUCACACAUCAUAGCAAAGGAAACAAGGUUUAUGAAGAUGGCCCCUCCAAUGGAUCCCCCUUUUGGCAGAGCUCUGGAAUAGGGCUCCAGAUGGGAUCUCUUCAGAACAGUGGUUUGCGGCAGUGAUAAAACUCUUAUGCAUGCACGAUGAAUGGUUUUUGGAUUUAUAGGAAUUAUAGGCGGUAGAAUCAAGUCAACGUAGUUUCCAUGAGGCCCACAAGCUCAGGGGCGCGAACACCCCCUUUGCCACGCCACCUAGCCUUGUGGGUUCCUCGUGGUUCUUCUAGACAUCUCCCAAAGCUUCCUAAGUUUCUUGUUGCCCAAAAAAACAUGUUAAAUUGGCAAAGUACUUUGACCUCCAUAGAUAUUGAUUUCCCACGGAACCAAAAACAUGUAGAAAACAAGAACUGACACCGAU
RNAcentral lists this ribosomal RNA (2715 nucleotides) under Triticum aestivum (bread wheat). Its description in RNAcentral is "partial small subunit ribosomal RNA". The record is from RNAcentral. Lineage: Eukaryota; Viridiplantae; Streptophyta; Magnoliopsida; Poales; Poaceae.